RNAcentral lists this ribosomal RNA (857 nucleotides) under uncultured bacterium. RNAcentral describes it as "bacterial SSU rRNA". It matches the Rfam family "Bacterial small subunit ribosomal RNA", at positions 1 to 828 of the family's 1533-position model. The record is from RNAcentral.
CGGAGAGUUUGAUCCUGGCUCAGGACGAACGCUGGCGGCAUGCCUAAUACAUGCAAGUCGAACGAACUUUCCCGAUGAUUGAAGCUUGCUUCAUGAAUCGGAUCUAAGUGAGUGGCGGACGGGUGAGUAACACGUGGGUAACCUGCCCAAAAGUGGGGGAUAACAUUUGGAAACAAGUGCUAAUACCGCAUAACAACUACUUUCACAUGAUCGUAGUUUAAAAGAUGGCUCUGCUAUCGCUUUUGGAUGGACCCGCGGCGUAUUAGCUAGUUGGUGAGGUAAAGGCUCACCAAGGCAAUGAUACGUAGCCGACCUGAGAGGGUAAUCGGCCACAUUGGGACUGAGACACGGCCCAAACUCCUACGGGAGGCAGCAGUAGGGAAUCUUCCACAAUGGGCGAAAGCCUGAUGGAGCAAUGCCGCGUGAGUGAAGAAGGUUUUCGGAUCGUAAAACUCUGUUGUUGAAGAAGAACAUGCGUGAGAGUAACUGUUCACGUACUGACGGUAUUCAACCAGAAAGCCACGGCUAACUACGUGCCAGCAGCCGCGGUAAUACGUAGGUGGCAAGCGUUGUCCGGAUUUAUUGGGCGUAAAGAGAAUGUAGGCGGUUUAUUAAGUUUGAAGUGAAAGCCCUCGGCUCAACCGAGGAAGUGCUUCGAAAACUGGUAAACUUGAGUGCAGAAGAGGAAAGUGGAACUCCAUGUGUAGCGGUGGAAUGCGUAGAUAUAUGGAAGAACACCAGUGGCGAAGGCGGCUUUCUGGUCUGUAACUGACGCUGAGAUUCGAAAGCAUGGGUAGCAAACAGGAUUAGAUACCCUGGUAGUCCAUGCCGUAAACGAUGAGUGCUAAGUAUUGGAG